UGUCCUCAAUAUAAAAAGGACAUGGAACUGUUGGAACAAGUCCAGAGGAGGGCCAUGAGGAUGAUCAGGGGACUCUAGCCCUCACCUUAUGAAGAAAGGCUGAGAAAGUUGGGGCUGUUCAGCCUGGAGAAGAGAAGGCUGCGUCAAGACUUCAUCCAGUACCUGAAAUACCCCUUCAGUAUCUGAAGGGGGCCUAUAAGGAUGCUAGGGAGGGACUCUUUGUUAGGGACUGUAGUGAUAGGACAAGGGGUAACGGGUUCAAACUUAAACAGGGGAAGUUUAGAUUGGAUAUAAGGAAGAAGUUCUUUACUGUAAGGGUGGUGAGGCACUGGAAUGGGUUGCCCAGGGAGUUGUGAAUGCUCCAUCCCUGGAGGUGUUCAAGGCCAGGCUGGACAGAGCCUUGGCCUUGGGUGGCAUGGUUUAGUGUGAGGUGUCCCUGCCCAUGAGAGGGGACUUGGAACUAGAUGAUCUUAAGGUCCUUUCCAACCCUAACUAUUCUAUGAUUCUAUGAUUUAAAUAAAAAAACAGAACUACAGUAAAACUAAUACAAUUCUGAAAUUGGCAGCUGAGGUGCAAAUAA
This is a long non-coding RNA of Pezoporus flaviventris, 580 nucleotides long. RefSeq lists it as uncharacterized. The record is from RefSeq and is a predicted model, not a curated record. NCBI's taxonomy places the organism in Eukaryota, Metazoa, Chordata, Aves, Psittaciformes, Psittacidae. The transcript has 3 exons.